Molecule: ribosomal RNA, 496 nt
Filed under: bacterium SV14
Lineage: Bacteria
Description: bacterial SSU rRNA
Rfam family: Bacterial small subunit ribosomal RNA
Source: RNAcentral
UGGCUCAGAUUGAACGCUGGCGGCAUGCCUAACACAUGCAAGUCGAACGGCAGCACAGAGGAGCUUGCUCCUUGGGUGGCGAGUGGCGGACGGGUGAGUAAUGCAUCGGGACCUACCCAGACGUGGGGGAUAACGUAGGGAAACUUACGCUAAUACCGCAUACGUCCUACGGGAGAAAGCAGGGGACCUUCGGGCCUUGCGCGGUUGGACGGACCGAUGUGCGAUUAGCUAGUUGGUAGGGUAAUGGCCUACCAAGGCGACGAUCGCUAGCUGGUCUGAGAGGAUGAUCAGCCACACUGGGACUGAGACACGGCCCAGACUCCUACGGGAGGCAGCAGUGGGGAAUAUUGGACAAUGGGCGCAAGCCUGAUCCAGCAAUGCCGCGUGUGUGAAGAAGGCCUUCGGGUUGUAAAGCACUUUUAUCAGGAACGAAAUACCACGGGUUAAUACCCUAUGGGGCUGACGGUACCUAGGAAUAAGCACCGGCUAAUUCGUC